GUCAAACAAGAUGAAUUCAAUACCGCCCCAGUCUGAUCACUGAAAGACAGAAAGAAUAAGACAGACUGCC
Molecule: small nucleolar RNA, 70 nt
Filed under: Neogale vison (American mink)
Lineage: Eukaryota; Metazoa; Chordata; Mammalia; Carnivora; Mustelidae
Source: RNAcentral